GGAGAGAUGGCCGAGCGGUCGAAGGCGCACGCCUGGAAAGUGUGUAUACGGCAACGUAUCGAGGGUUCAAAUCCCUCUCUCUCCGCCA
This 88-nucleotide transfer RNA is filed under the name Gammaproteobacteria bacterium. Its description in RNAcentral is "tRNA-Ser". It matches the Rfam family "tRNA". Rfam says of the family: Transfer RNA (tRNA) molecules are approximately 80 nucleotides in length. Their secondary structure includes four short double-helical elements and three loops (D, anti-codon, and T loops). Further hydrogen bonds mediate the characteristic L-shaped molecular structure. tRNAs have two regions of fundamental functional importance: the anti-codon, which is responsible for specific mRNA codon recognition, and the 3' end, to which the tRNAs corresponding amino acid is attached (by aminoacyl-tRNA synthetases). tRNAs cope with the degeneracy of the genetic code in two manners: having more than one tRNA (with a specific anti-codon) for a particular amino acid; and 'wobble' base-pairing, i.e. permitting non-standard base-pairing at the 3rd anti-codon position. Lineage: Bacteria; Pseudomonadati; Pseudomonadota; Gammaproteobacteria. The record is from RNAcentral.